UACGGAGGGUGCAAGCGUUAUCCGGAUUCACUGGGUUUAAAGGGUGCGUAGGCGGGCAGGUAAGUCCGUGGUGAAAUCUCUGAGCUUAACUCAGAAACUGCCAUGGAUACUAUUUGUCUUGAAUAUUGUGGAGGUAAGCGGAAUAUGUCAUGUAGCGGUGAAAUGCUUAGAUAUGACAUAGAACACCGAUUGCGAAGGCAGCUAACGAAACUAUAACUGACACUGAGGCUCGAAAGUGCGGGGAUCAAACAGG
RNAcentral lists this ribosomal RNA (253 nucleotides) under uncultured bacterium. RNAcentral's name for it is "partial 16S ribosomal RNA". It matches the Rfam family "Bacterial small subunit ribosomal RNA", at positions 524 to 776 of the family's 1533-position model. The record is from RNAcentral.